Felis catus (domestic cat) is the source of this 526-nucleotide long non-coding RNA. RefSeq lists it as uncharacterized. NCBI's taxonomy places the organism in Eukaryota, Metazoa, Chordata, Mammalia, Carnivora, Felidae. The transcript is spliced from 2 exons. The record is from RefSeq and is a predicted model, not a curated record.
CAUGACCUGAGUGGAAGUCGGACUCUUAACCGACUGAGCCACCUGGGGGGCCCCCUGUACCCAUUUCUCCUUUCCAUUCUGCCUGCUGGCUCCAGACUAACCUCGCUAGGGCACCUUCCCAAAGCCGCGGUAGCCUCCUGACCGGUCUCUUACUCGUCCAACAAACCGCCAGCACCAGACUGGCCUUCCAACAAUCCCUCCUGCCCCGUAAGGACCAUCCGCUCAACACCCCGCGAUGCUCCUGUGGUGCCCACAGGUGAUGGCAACUGUGCAUCAUGCGGGACUCAACCCGCAAACCAGCGAACGGAACAAAGGAGACAGAACCCUAACCUCAUACGGGAGGAAGGAACGUGACCCAGAUGGGCACGGUUUCAGGAGAGUGACCAUCAGGCCACAGAAGUCCAAGGAAGACGAACUUACACAUCCGCCUGAGCAGAGAGAGUGCCUCAAGAAAACAGUGUUAUGGGUAACCGGGCAUGUGUAGGUCAAGGUCAAAGCAAAUACAGAACGCCGCCAGCAUAAAGAA